CCUGCCCCUAGAAGCCUUGUAGGUGUGGCUGCUGUGUCAAUAGGUGGUACACAGAGAGGCUAUGUCUAAGCUCAGUGUUCUGCCCUAUGAACAUAUGGGUGAUUAGUAGCCUGACAUU
RNAcentral lists this small nucleolar RNA (118 nucleotides) under Meriones unguiculatus (Mongolian gerbil). RNAcentral's name for it is "Small nucleolar RNA SNORA17 (ENSMUGG00000009975.1)". It matches the Rfam family "Small nucleolar RNA SNORA17". From Rfam's summary of the family: snoRNA ACA 17 belongs to the H/ACA family of snoRNAs and is predicted to guide pseudouridylation of the 28S rRNA at positions U4659 and U4598. Lineage: Eukaryota; Metazoa; Chordata; Mammalia; Rodentia; Muridae. The record is from RNAcentral.